RNAcentral lists this ribosomal RNA (463 nucleotides) under uncultured bacterium. RNAcentral describes it as "partial 16S ribosomal RNA". It matches the Rfam family "Bacterial small subunit ribosomal RNA", at positions 339 to 795 of the family's 1533-position model. The record is from RNAcentral.
CUACGGGACGCACCAGUGAGGAAUUUUGCGCAAUGGGGGAAACCCUGACGCAGCAACGCCGCGUGAGCGAAGAAGGCCUUCGGGUCGUAAAGCUCUGUCAAGUGGGAAAAAAAUUCUUUGAUGAACAGUCAAAGGACUUGAUGGUACCACAGGAGGAAGCACCGGCUAACUCCGUGCCAGCAGCCGCGGUAAUACGGAGGGUGCAAGCGUUGUUCGGAAUUACUGGGCGUAAAGAGCGUGUAGGCGGUUUGACAAGUCAGAUGUGAAAGCCCCGGGCUCAACCCGGGAAGUGCAUUUGAACUGUUUCACUAGAGUAUGGGAGAGGAGAUUGGAAUUCCUGGUGUAGAGGUGAAAUUCGUAGAUAUCAGGAGGAACACCCGUGGCGAAGGCGAUUCUCUGGACCAAUACUGACGCUGAGACGCGAAAGCGUGGGGAGCAAACAGGAUUAGAUACCCUCGUAGUC